This 253-nucleotide ribosomal RNA is filed under the name uncultured bacterium. Its description in RNAcentral is "partial 16S ribosomal RNA". It matches the Rfam family "Bacterial small subunit ribosomal RNA", at positions 524 to 776 of the family's 1533-position model. The record is from RNAcentral.
UACGUAGGGGGCAAGCGUUGUCCGGAUUUAUUGGGCGUAAAGAGCGUGUAGGCGGCCAGACAGGUCAGCUGUGAAAACUCGAGGCUCAACCUCGAGACGUCGGUUGAAACCGUCUGGCUAGAGUCCGGAAGAGGAGAGUGGAAUUCCCGGUGUAGCGGUGAAAUGCGCAGAUAUCGGGAAGAACACCCGUGGCGAAGGCGGUUCUCUGGGACGGUACUGACGCUGAGACGCGAAAGCGUGGGGAGCGAACAGG